GGUCUUGAUUGCAUGGUCCGGAGUUCAAGCCCUACAUUGGGCCCCAUGCUGGGCGUGAAGCCUACUUAAAAAAAAAGUCUCAAAUAAACAUAAAAACGGUAUUUUAGUUAUAUUUUAUAAUACAUUCAAAGAUUUUCUUAAGAUAGAAAAACUGAGGGGCAGAGGCAAGUAGGGACAAAAGGAAGUGGAAAAAGACACAGUGGAGUGCUAGAUACACCCAUGACUUACAUGGAGUAACAGCCCCAUAGUGUCACUUUUUACAACACAAAAGGGCGGUUAUCUUUUCACAAUGAUAAGCAGAAAUGUGGGCAAAACUUCUCCUGGGAGCUGGUGAUGUUGAGGAUAAAAUUUGGGGUAGGAAUGAGAGUUCCCUUAGCUGUGGCUGAAAAUGAGGGAGAUCAUUUCCUUUGAUGUUGUAAUGUUUAACUUUGAGAACUAAUCUACUGCUCUGGAUUCAGCUCCUUCUUUAUAAUAAUGGGCAAUGACGACUGAUGAGCACAUAGAAUACGAAGAGUAAGAGAAAGCAUGGCAAGAGAAAACCAGAGUGGUGGCUUUUUAACACAUUAGGAUCAUCCAGGAAGCUGUAAACCUGUCCAGCCCAGCCCUGACCCCAAACCUCUCAAGCCGCCAUGGCUGGGACCCUGGCAGCAGAUCAGGACUUAAGAGUCUACAGGUGUGGCCAAUGUGUGGCCAGUUUGAGAACACUGGUCCAAAAGAUCUGUCCCAAAAGGCUGAUAUAGGAAAGGAAAAUACACCAAAAUAACUGAAAUGAGAUUGGGGGAGGGCCACGCAAAGUCUUCUCCUGGAAGAGAGACUGAGAACAAAAGAUAGAGAUGAUUCAGGAGGUGAGAACGCAGGAGGGUGGCAGCUGAAGAUGCCGUCUCUCUGAUUCAACUUCCAAGAGCAAAGACAGAGGGGAGAACCCGGGAAUUUUGCUGGAAAGUUGAGUGUAAGAACAUCUUCCCCCUUUGCCUUAAUUAACCUUUAUUCCAAUGCAGCACUUUGAGGGCUGGGAGAAGGGUGCUAAAUCCUCCGAUUCAUUUGGUGCUGGGCCUCACACAGCAGCAGUGUAGGAGGAAUUCUCACCGGAGGGAACACUUGCUCUUAUGUAGGACUCCUAAGGUUUCCCUCCUCCAAAGAAGCCAACGGUUCUGACAAUGGACACACCAGCCAUAGAAGAACAGCCGCCUCACCAGUGGAGGUGACCAGCCAGGCCAGCAGGAAGCUGGUGAUGGUCAUGGCCAACACUUUGGGGAAGCAAUUGAGGGACCACAGCACCAGGUGUCACUGCUUCCCAGAAAAGUCAGUUUGUGAUCAAGUGGAUUUUAUGAUGCUGAAGUCCUUUCUGGAAGGCCAGAGACACUUUGAAAUUGGGUGUCCAAGUGGGCUUGAGAACUGGAUUUUUCUAUUGGUGAGAAAGCUCUUGUUUCCUCCAAAGCAGUAGGCCCUGAGUAAGCUCUUGGAACCCCCCUGAAGCCUUGGAAAACUUGCCAUCUUCUGAACAAAAGCAUCUCGUACAUACCCUUAGGAAAUAGUUACAUGGAAGUUUAUGCUCAGUCUCACUUUGUUUUGCCUGCAGCAUAUAAAAAGUUUGCAGUGUGCAUCUCCCGUGCUCUGAUGUUGUGGAUUAAUCACAUUCUGAGGUAGAGCCUAGAGCCUGGCCCUGCCUGAACUUUCAGUGAGAAGAUGCAGCUAUAUUGGUCAGGACAAUUAUGGAGAUAGGUCAGGGCAUUAGAGGCUUUGGCUGCAGGCACUGGUGAUUAGGUUAGAGCCCGCUGGACAAAUGGAUUAGUGUUGGCUGAUUGGGCUCCCUUGGACAAAGGGAAAGAAAAGACUACUUUAAUCAAGACUAAGCCACAUCUCCCAGGCAGUCAGCCAUCGUCAGUGCCUAAGAAUGUUCCAGUAUGCUAAGGCCUGGCUGGUGUCUGUUAGAUGGGACUCUGCACCUGCACCAGUUGGGAAUACAGUCAAAAGAUGGAAGCCUGGGAGGAAAAAAUCUAGGUCAACUUCUGUUGAUUCCCUAACAUUCUAGUUUCAUGACUUAAAAUGUACUUCUCAUUGGUCCAAAUAACUACUGGACCCCAAGUUUAUGAAUAUAAGCACUUUCAAGCAAGCUAAGUGGCUCCCAAGGAAUAUAUAGUUAGUCCAAGACUUGGACUAUAUUUGCAUUGACCUUGGCUUCUUACUUCUUUAUCAGCUCCUAGGUCUAUCUGAUUGGGUCUUGCCAUUUGUCAAUUCUGAGUAAUAAAGCUUCUAGAUGAGC
Felis catus (domestic cat) is the source of this 2263-nucleotide long non-coding RNA. RefSeq lists it as uncharacterized. NCBI's taxonomy places the organism in Eukaryota, Metazoa, Chordata, Mammalia, Carnivora, Felidae. The transcript is spliced from 2 exons. The record is from RefSeq and is a predicted model, not a curated record.